RNAcentral lists this ribosomal RNA (629 nucleotides) under Pseudomonas sp. RNAcentral describes it as "bacterial SSU rRNA". It matches the Rfam family "Bacterial small subunit ribosomal RNA", at positions 67 to 690 of the family's 1533-position model. The record is from RNAcentral. Lineage: Bacteria; Pseudomonadati; Pseudomonadota; Gammaproteobacteria; Pseudomonadales; Pseudomonadaceae.
CGGAUGAAGGGAGCUUGCUCCUGGAUUUAGCGGCGGACGGGUGAGUAAUGCCUAGGAAUCUGCCUGGUAGUGGGGGAUAACGUUCCGAAAGGAACGCUAAUACCGCGUACGUCCUACGGGAGAAAGCAGGGGACCUUCGGGCCUUGCGCUAUCAGAUGAGCCUAGGUCGGAUUAGCUAGUUGGUGAGGUAAUGGCUCACCAAGGCGACGAUCCGUAACUGGUCUGAGAGGAUGAUCAGUCACACUGGAACUGAGACACGGUCCAGACUCCUACGGGAGGCAGCAGUGGGGAAUAUUGGACAAUGGGCGAAAGCCUGAUCCAGCCAUGCCGCGUGUGUGAAGAAGGUCUUCGGAUUGUAAAGCACUUUAAGUUGGGAGGAAGGGCGUUUGGCUAAUAUCCAGGCGUUUUGACGUUACCGACAGAAUAAGCACCGGCUAACUUCGUGCCAGCAGCCGCGGUAAUACGAAGGGUGCAAGCGUUAAUCGGAAUUACUGGGCGUAAAGCGCGCGUAGGUGGUUCGUUAAGUUGGAUGUGAAAGCCCCGGGCUCAACCUGGGAACUGCAUCCAAAACUGGCGAGCUAGAGUACGGUAGAGGGUAGUGGAAUUUCCUUGUGUAGCGGUGAAAUGCG